AAGUCGUAACAAGGUUUCCGUAGGUGAACCUGCGGAAGGAUCAUUACUAGAAGUUUGGUAAAGGUUGGGUAAAGACUCCGGUAAAGGAUCUUCGUCCCGCCUACCAAUCUCCAACCCUUGUGGUUAAUGCCAUAACGUUGCUUUGGCGGGGGUUUAACGGCCCUCGCCAAAAGACAUAGCUAAACUCUUGAAUCAAUUUAAACAGUCAAGGCCUCUGGUCUUAACAACAAUCAUAAAAACUUUCAACAACGGAUCUCUUGGUUCCG
Molecule: unclassified non-coding RNA, 266 nt
Filed under: fungal sp.
Lineage: Eukaryota; Fungi
Description: partial internal transcribed spacer region
Rfam family: Eukaryotic small subunit ribosomal RNA (bases 1-46)
Source: RNAcentral